ACUUCUCUUCUUCCAGCACUCCAGCCCUCUCUGUGGCCCUGGGACCUCAUUUGGCAGGCUGUUGGCUCACCCCAGAGUGGCAGAUAAGAGUUGUGAGUGCGCACAGCCCAUUAAAAGCUGUUCAGAUCUGCCUACCUUGGGGCAUUUUGAGGCAGAUCUCCUUGGAGGAGUCUCUGAUUCCAGACCAAUGGGUUGUUUCCAAUUUCUGGAUACUAUGAAUAGAGCAGCAAUGAACAUGGCUGACCAAGUGGUUCUGUGGUGUAGGAUACCAUUUCCUGUUGCAUGCAAGAUAUAGGACUCCCAGCUACUUCUCCAGCACCAUGUCUGUCUGCCUGCCGCCAUGUCUCACCAUAAUGAUAAUGGACUGAAUUUCUGAAACUGUAAGCCAUACCAGUUAAAUGUUUACCUUUAUAAAAGUUGCCAUGGACAUGGUGUCUCUUCUCAGCAAUAGAAACCCCAACUAAGACAAUGCCCAAGAGUGUAAUGCCUGGAUCUUGAGGUAGAUCAGUGCCCAUCUUCCUGAGGAGCUGUCACACGAAAUCCAUAGUGACUGUACAAGUUUGCAGUCCUAACAACAAUGGACGAGUGUUCACCCCUUCACCACAUCCUUGCCAGCAGGAGCUGUCAUUUGCCUUAUUCAUCUUGGUCAUUCUGAUGGGUGUUAAGAGGAAAGAGGACGGGCGUGGUUUUGAUUUGCAUUUCCCUGUUGAUUAAGGAUGUUGAACAUUUCUUGAAGUGUCUCUCAGCCAUCUGAGUUUUGUCUUUUGAGAAUUCUCUGUUUAAAUCCAUACCCCAUUUUUAAAUUGUAUUGUUUUUCUUGAUAUCCAGUUUUUGAGUUCUUUAUCUGUAUUAGUUAUUAGUCCUCAAUUAUAUAUGUAAUUGGUAAAAACAAAACAAAACAAAACAACCCCCCCCUUUUCUCAUUCUGUAGGCUGUUGCUUUUCUGAAUGGUGUCCCUUGCUGUGCAGAAACUUUUCAGUUUCAUAAGGUUCCAUUUAUUAAUUGUUGAUCUUAGUGCCUGUGCUAAUGGUUUUCCAUUCAGAAAGCUUUUUUUUUGUCCCAAUGAGUUCAAGGCUAUUCCCCACUUUCUCUUUUAUCAGAUUCAGCGUCUCUCUCUCUCUCUCUCUCUCUCUCUCUCUCUCUCUCUCUCUCUCUCUCUGUGUGUGUGUGUGUGUGUGUGUGUUUUAGAUCUUUGGUCCAUUUGCAGUUGAGUUUUGUUCAGGGUAAUAAAGGUGGAUCUGUUUGCAUUCUUCUAUUCUACAUGCAGCCAUCCAGUUUGCACAGCACCAUUUGUUGAAGAUGC
Molecule: long non-coding RNA, 1303 nt
Filed under: Cricetulus griseus (Chinese hamster)
Lineage: Eukaryota; Metazoa; Chordata; Mammalia; Rodentia; Cricetidae
Description: lncRNA (ENSCGRG00015030425.1)
Source: RNAcentral